This is a non-coding RNA of Castor canadensis (American beaver), 500 nucleotides long. The record is from RefSeq and is a predicted model, not a curated record. Lineage: Eukaryota; Metazoa; Chordata; Mammalia; Rodentia; Castoridae.
GACCAGACUUGAUCCUCCUUGGCAUGCCCCCCAAGACCCAUGUCUUGGCUUUCCUUUUCCCUCCCCAAAUCUAGUUCCUACUGGGCUCAGAAGUUUCCUUCUACAAGAGGAUCUGGGGACUGGCAUCCUGAUAAAAAAGGAUCAAGAUAAAAUAUAUGAUUUAAUUAAAAUGAACAGAAAAACCAUAGUUAUUCCAGCAAUGAAGUCAUAAGAAGAACACACUACUUGCCAAGUGUAUGUACUUUUAAGAAUAUUUAUUGGAGGUCUACUAUGUGUUAAACCCUAAGAGAAAUCCAGGAAUGUCUACACAGAAGAGUCUCAAAUUCACAACCUAAGUCACCAAUAAGAUCUUCUCCCUAUAUUAGAAGCUAACCAGGGACUACAGAUUAAAAUCGAAUCCCCUCCCUUUUACAUACAUUCUAAGAUGAAACUCAAUGCUCGGAGAUGAAACAUGUUUAGUGCUUGUUUUGACAGAAUGGAGAUAAGUGGUGGUAAAACAU